Molecule: small nuclear RNA, 22 nt
Filed under: Arabidopsis thaliana (thale cress)
Lineage: Eukaryota; Viridiplantae; Streptophyta; Magnoliopsida; Brassicales; Brassicaceae
Description: snRNA_07986
Source: RNAcentral
UGUUGGAUUGUUCACCCACCAA